Molecule: ribosomal RNA, 120 nt
Filed under: Petromyzon marinus (sea lamprey)
Lineage: Eukaryota; Metazoa; Chordata; Hyperoartia; Petromyzontiformes; Petromyzontidae
Source: RNAcentral
GUCUUCAGCCAAAUCACCCGGAAUGUAGCCGAUGUUAUCAGAGCUCAGAAGCUAAGCAGCGUUGAGCCUGGAUUGCACUUGGAUGGGCUACCACCACCCAUCAAACAGUUGCUGUAGGCU